UACGGAGGGUGCAAGCGUUAUCCGGAUUCACUGGGUUUAAAGGGUGCGUAGGUGGGCAGGUAAGUCAGUGGUGAAAUCUCCGAGCUUAACUCGGAACUGCCGUUGAUACUAUUUGUCUUGAAUAUUGUGGAGGUAAGCGGAAUAUGUCAUGUAGCGGUGAAAUGCUUAGAUAUGACAUAGAACACCAAUUGCGAAGGCAGCUUACUACACAACGAUUGACGCUGAGGCACGAAAAGCGUGGGGGAUCAAACAGG
This 254-nucleotide ribosomal RNA is filed under the name uncultured bacterium. RNAcentral describes it as "partial 16S ribosomal RNA". It matches the Rfam family "Bacterial small subunit ribosomal RNA", at positions 524 to 776 of the family's 1533-position model. The record is from RNAcentral.